GUUUCAGCCGCCGCGGUAAUACAGAGGGUGCAAGCGUUGUUCGGAAUUACUGGGCGUAAAGCGCGCGCAGGCGGGUCCUGUAAGUCGGAAGUGAAAUUUCGGAGCUCAACUCCGAAGCUGCUUCUGAUACUGCGGAUCUGGAGACCGGUAGAGGCUGGUAGAAUUACAGGUGUAGCGGUGGAAUGCGUAGAUAUCUGUAAGAAUACCCGUGGCGAAGGCGGCCAGCUGGGCCGGGUCUGACGCUGAGGCGCGAAAGCGUGGGGAGCAAACAGGAUUAGAAACCCUCGUAGUCC
RNAcentral lists this ribosomal RNA (293 nucleotides) under uncultured bacterium. Its description in RNAcentral is "partial 16S ribosomal RNA". It matches the Rfam family "Bacterial small subunit ribosomal RNA", at positions 505 to 796 of the family's 1533-position model. The record is from RNAcentral.